AAUAAUGGUGCUUUGAGUUGAACUUUGCUUGCAAUAGACACGCAUAAAGCAAUAAAAGAAAGCUUACCAAAAGGACAAUCAGUAAGCUCUUAGUCUUACUCUUGACUAAUAUGCUAAUGUACGUGAAAAUAUUCUGCUUAAAUUUGACAGGUGCUCCUGGCAAGCAAUGCAAGCAAACUCUCCACAUUGGCUGCCGGGGAGGAUAAGCUAACCUUUGGAGAUGUAAACUCGGAGCAAAAGAGUUUGAUGGCUAACUGGGGCAUGGGAAAUUCAUGGUGGCAUGGAAAAAAGUUAGUGCAAGAAAGAUACCCUGACGAGGGGAGAGUGAGGUGGAUGGAUGGAUGGCUAUAGCAAGGCUCAAUAGCAAAUUGCUGAAAAGCAUGAUACUGGAUUAUCAGAUAAUUUACAAGGAGUCCUUUUCUAACUUUCCUUGCCCCAAUCCCCUUUCAGCCUUUUUUGGGAAGCAGUUAUUUGAUUUAAUCAACAGAGAAGUUGAUCGCAGAGCAUCACAGUGAAGAAGGAUUCAUGUUGCAGUAAACUCAAUUACGAAGGUCAAGGACAUUGCCACCUACCAUUAUCUUUCACACGUAGAAUUUUGAUUUUAUCUUAUUGAGCGUGAGAAAUACUAGAGAGAAAGAGAGGGUGAGAGUUUGCAAUUUUAUGUAAGC
RNAcentral lists this long non-coding RNA (668 nucleotides) under Populus trichocarpa (black cottonwood). RNAcentral describes it as "long non-coding RNA (PTRI_LNC002920)". Lineage: Eukaryota; Viridiplantae; Streptophyta; Magnoliopsida; Malpighiales; Salicaceae. The record is from RNAcentral.